Molecule: ribosomal RNA, 497 nt
Filed under: uncultured bacterium
Lineage: Bacteria
Description: partial 16S ribosomal RNA
Rfam family: Bacterial small subunit ribosomal RNA
Source: RNAcentral
GAUGAACGCUGGCGGCGUGCCUAAUACAUGCAAGUCGAGCGAACAGAUGAGGAGCUUGUUCCUCUGACGUUAGCGGCGGACGGGUGAGUAACACGUGGAUAACCUACCUUUAAGACUGGGAUAACUUCGGGAAACCGGAGCUAAUACCGGAUAAUAUAUUGAACCGCAUGGUUUAAUAGUGAAAGACGGUUUUGCUUUCACUUAUAGAUGGAUCCGCGCCGCAUUAGCUAGUUGGUAAGGUAACGGCUUACCAAGGCAACGAUGCGUAGCCGACCUGGAAGGGUGAUCGGCCACACUGGAACUGAGACACGGUCCAGACUCCUACGGGAGGCAGCGGUAGGGAAUCUUCCGCAAUGGGCGAAAGCCUGACGGAGCAACGCGGCGUGAGUGAGGAAGGUCUUCGGAUCGUAAAACUCUGUUAUUAGGGAAGAACAAAUGUGUAAGUAACUAUGCACGACUUGACGGUACCUAAUCAGAAAGCCACGGCUAACUACGUG